GACGAACGCUGGCGGCGUGCUUAACACAUGCAAGUCGAACGGAAAGGCCCUUCGGGGUACUCGAGUGGCGAACGGGUGAGUAACACGUGGGUGAUCUGCCCUGCACUUUGGGUUAAGCCUGGGAAACUGGGUCUAAUACCGAAUAGGACCACGCGCUUCAUGGUGUGUGGUGGAAAGCUUUUGCGGUGUGGGAUGGGCCCGCGGCGUAUCAGCUGGUUGGUGGGGUAAGGGCCUACCAAGGCGACGACGGGUAGCCGGCCUGGGAGGGUGACCGGCCACACUGGGACUGAGAUACGGCCCAGACUCCUACGGGAGGCAGCAGUGGGGAAUAUUGCACAAUGGGCGCAAGACUGAUGCAGCGACGCCGCGUGGGGGAUGACGGCCUUCGGGUUGUAAACCUCUGUCACCAGGGACGAAGCGUAAGUGACGGUACCUGGAGAAGAAGCACCGGCCAACUACGUG
RNAcentral lists this ribosomal RNA (462 nucleotides) under uncultured bacterium. Its description in RNAcentral is "partial 16S ribosomal RNA". It matches the Rfam family "Bacterial small subunit ribosomal RNA", at positions 28 to 507 of the family's 1533-position model. The record is from RNAcentral.